AAGUCGUAACAAGGUUUCCGUAGGUGAACCUGCGGAAGGAUCAUUACCAAUCCAAAACCCCUUUUUAUUAUCAACACGCAAUGUGAACCGAGAAUGGUUUCGUUCCCUUCCUCGGGAGAAAGGAGGGAGAGGCAUAUAUACAUAUAUAUAUAUGUACAUAUGCUUUUCCUUGCUACUCUCAGUUGGAAAGGAAGGGAAUGUUAUUUUUUCAACCCCUUUACAACCAUAUCAACCCAUACUUUAUAUGCUGAAAGCAAAAAAAAAACAAACGAAACAUGAGACAACUUUUAACGGUGGAUCUCUUGGCUCGU
Molecule: unclassified non-coding RNA, 311 nt
Filed under: fungal sp.
Lineage: Eukaryota; Fungi
Description: partial internal transcribed spacer region
Rfam family: Eukaryotic small subunit ribosomal RNA (bases 1-46)
Source: RNAcentral